This 697-nucleotide unclassified non-coding RNA is filed under the name Hevea brasiliensis (rubber tree). Lineage: Eukaryota; Viridiplantae; Streptophyta; Magnoliopsida; Malpighiales; Euphorbiaceae. The record is from RNAcentral.
AUUAUGUCCAUCUUUCUUAUACCUGUCUACCAAAUACAAGUAAUCAAAGACCUAAACUUUAACGUAGCAAAUACAAUUUCUAUCUAUAUUUCUCAUAGCCCAUCGCAUUAUUCUUUUGAUAGCUUUCUUCCAAAAGGUUGCACCUUAAAAAAAAAAAAAUUAACAUAUAGGGUGACUUUAGACUUAUUUACCAAAAUCUAGGUUUGGUUUUUCGUUUCGGCUGAAAACCAUGGAUGACGAACGAAUAUGCAAAUUUCAUCACGUUAAUAGUUAACUAAGGUAGUUGGUACAAAACCGAAUAACCGGAUUCUUUAAAUUUGUAAACAGAAUCGAACCGCAUUGCUGUAGACAGAACCAUCAGAUCAUGGACACUACCAUCCCAAUACAAUCAAUCAAAAUAUUAAUUAAUUAGCUUUGAAAAAGAAUACCAUUAAUUUGCCACAAGUUGCAGGAGAAUUCUAGAAACGAUGCAGUAUUUCUUCGGGGAAUUUGGUCAAAUAACUGAAUUACAAGACAGAACUCCCAAAACUACCAUCCACGAAAUUUAUUUGCAAUGAACUUCUGAAAAGAAAAAUUAUAUAACCCAACCAGAUUGCAUGAAUUUGCAAACAAAAUUCUUCGGCACAGAUCAAGGGCAAGGCUAAUCAAUUGGAGACGUAAGGUUGAGUUUUCGUACCUACCAGCUGUUGGGAAAGGA